GGCCUGGUGGAGUAGUGGCCACGCACUGGUCUAGCACACUAGACAUCUUGGGUUCGAAUCCCGGCAUAGCCA
RNAcentral lists this transfer RNA (72 nucleotides) under Clonorchis sinensis. It matches the Rfam family "tRNA". Rfam says of the family: Transfer RNA (tRNA) molecules are approximately 80 nucleotides in length. Their secondary structure includes four short double-helical elements and three loops (D, anti-codon, and T loops). Further hydrogen bonds mediate the characteristic L-shaped molecular structure. tRNAs have two regions of fundamental functional importance: the anti-codon, which is responsible for specific mRNA codon recognition, and the 3' end, to which the tRNAs corresponding amino acid is attached (by aminoacyl-tRNA synthetases). tRNAs cope with the degeneracy of the genetic code in two manners: having more than one tRNA (with a specific anti-codon) for a particular amino acid; and 'wobble' base-pairing, i.e. permitting non-standard base-pairing at the 3rd anti-codon position. The record is from Rfam by way of RNAcentral. Lineage: Eukaryota; Metazoa; Platyhelminthes; Trematoda; Opisthorchiida; Opisthorchiidae.